AGAGCGAACGCUGGCGGCAGGCCUAACACAUGCAAGUCGAACGGACUCUUCGGGGUUAGUGGCGGACGGGUGAGUAACACGUGGGAACGUGCCUUUAGGUUCGGAAUAGCUCCUGGAAACGGGUGGUAAUGCCGAAUGUGCCCGUUCGGGGGAAAGAUUUAUCGCCUUUAGAGCGGCCCGCGUCUGAUUAGCUAGUUGGUGAGGUAAAGGCUCACCAAGGCUACGA
RNAcentral lists this ribosomal RNA (226 nucleotides) under uncultured soil bacterium. RNAcentral describes it as "partial 16S ribosomal RNA". It matches the Rfam family "Bacterial small subunit ribosomal RNA", at positions 26 to 279 of the family's 1533-position model. The record is from RNAcentral.